RNAcentral lists this ribosomal RNA (497 nucleotides) under uncultured bacterium. RNAcentral's name for it is "partial 16S ribosomal RNA". It matches the Rfam family "Bacterial small subunit ribosomal RNA", at positions 28 to 507 of the family's 1533-position model. The record is from RNAcentral.
GAUGAACGCUGGCGGCGUGCCUAACACAUGCAAGUCGAGCGAACAGACGAGGAGCUUGCUCCUCUGACGUUAGCGGCGGACGGGAGAGAAACACGCGGACAACCUACCUAUAAGAAUGGGCUAACUUCGGGAAACAGGACCUAAUACCGGAUAAUAUAGUGAACCGCAUGGUUCAAUAGUGAAAGCCGGUUUUGCUGUCGAUUAUAGAUGGAGCAGCGCCGGAUUAGCUAGUUGGUCAGGUAACGGCUUACCAAGGCGACGAUGCGUAGCCGACCUGAGAGGGCGACCAGCCACACUGGAACUGAGACACGGCCCAGACUCCUACGGGAGGCAGCAGUAGGGAAUCUUCCGCAAUGGGCGCAAGCCUGACGCAGCAACGCCGCGUGCGUGAAGAAGGCCUUCGGAUCGUAAAACUCUGUUAUUAGGGAAGAACAGAUUUUGAUGUAACUCUGCACGUCUUGACGGUACCUAAUCAGAAAGCCACGGCUAACUACGUG